RNAcentral lists this ribosomal RNA (460 nucleotides) under uncultured Bacteroidota bacterium. Its description in RNAcentral is "uncultured Bacteroidetes bacterium partial 16S ribosomal RNA". The record is from RNAcentral. Lineage: Bacteria; Pseudomonadati; Bacteroidota.
GACUACCGGGGUAUCUAAUCCUGUUCGAUACCCACGCUUUCGUGCAUCAGCGUCAAUUAUAUCUUAGUAAGCCGCCUUCGCGAACGGUGUUCUAAAUCAUAUCUAUGAAUGUCACCUCUACAUGAUUCAUUCCGCCUACUCCAUUUAUAUUCUAGUCUGACAGUAUCAACGGCAAGACAUAGGUUAAGCCUAUGCUUUUCACCGCUGACUUAUCAGUCAGCCUACGCACCCUUUAAACCCAAUAAAUCCGGAUAACGCUCGGAUCCUCCGUAUUACCGCGGCUGCUGGCACGGAGUUAGCCGAUCCUUAUUCUCAUAAUACAUUCAGGUAUAUUCGCAAAUAUACGGUUAGUCUUAUGUAAAAGCAGUUUACAACCCAUAAGGCCGUCUUCCUGCACGCGGCAUGGCUGGUUCAGGCUUGCGCCCAUUGACCAAUAUUCCUCACUGCAGCCGCCCGUAGG